CCAGAAGAUUGGAUGGCUGCUCUUGAAACUCAAGAGAGGAAAGUCCGGGCUCCAUGGAAUGAAGAUGCCGGAUAAUGCCCGGCGGGGGAUAAAACCCUUAGGGAAAGUGCCACAGAAAACAAACCGCCUAUUUGAUGUCCUCGGAUAUCAUGCAAGGUAAGGGUGAAAAGGCGAGGUAAGAGCUCACCGCGAUGCUUGUAAAAGGAUCGGCAUGGUAAACCCCAUCUGGAGCAAGACCAAAUAGAGAGAGCAUGAUUCAAGCAAUUGAUCAGGCGUAUUCCACGCUGUUCUCUGGGUAGGUUGCACGAGAUGUUUGGUAACAAGCAUCCAAGAUGAAUAGUCGUCACCUUGUAAAAGGUACAGAACCCGGCUUAUAGAUCUUCUGGUUUA
This 390-nucleotide RNase P RNA is filed under the name Alphaproteobacteria bacterium. RNAcentral's name for it is "RNase P RNA component class A". It matches the Rfam family "Bacterial RNase P class A". Rfam says of the family: Ribonuclease P (RNase P) is a ubiquitous endoribonuclease, found in archaea, bacteria and eukarya as well as chloroplasts and mitochondria. Its best characterised activity is the generation of mature 5'-ends of tRNAs by cleaving the 5'-leader elements of precursor-tRNAs. Lineage: Bacteria; Pseudomonadati; Pseudomonadota; Alphaproteobacteria. The record is from RNAcentral.